This 235-nucleotide ribosomal RNA is filed under the name uncultured bacterium. Its description in RNAcentral is "partial 16S ribosomal RNA". It matches the Rfam family "Bacterial small subunit ribosomal RNA", at positions 118 to 347 of the family's 1533-position model. The record is from RNAcentral.
UGAGGAACAUGACCUUCGGCGGGGGAUAGCCGGCCCAACGGCCGGGUAAUACCGCGUACGACCACUUUGGGACAUCCCUAGGUGGUGAAAGCAGCAAUGCGCCGAUGGAGUGCCUCGCGGCCUAUCAGCUAGUUGGUGAGGUAACGGCUCACCAAGGCGACGACGGGUAGCUGGUCUGAGAGGAUGGCCAGCCACAUUGGGACUGAGACACGGCCCAGACUCCGUACGGGAGCAG